UCAUUAGAUACCCCGGUAGUCCACACUGUAAACGAUGGAUACUAGGUGUAGGGUGUAUUAAGCACUCUGUGCCGCCGCAAACGCAUUAAGUAUCCCACCUGGGGAGUACGACCGCAAGGUUGAAACUCAAAGGAAUUGACGCAAGGGGGCGCGGCCGAAGGUGGGUUCGAUAAUUGGGGUGAAGUCGUAACAAGGUACC
This 199-nucleotide ribosomal RNA is filed under the name uncultured bacterium. Its description in RNAcentral is "partial 16S ribosomal RNA". It matches the Rfam family "Bacterial small subunit ribosomal RNA", at positions 775 to 1500 of the family's 1533-position model. The record is from RNAcentral.